Molecule: ribosomal RNA, 120 nt
Filed under: Nitrososphaerota archaeon
Lineage: Archaea; Thermoproteati; Nitrososphaerota
Source: RNAcentral
CCAGCCGGCCAUAGCGUGUGGGCCCGACCUAGACUCAUUCCGAACCUAGAAGUCAAACCACAUGUCGCUUGAAUGCUAGUGAGGUGCGAAAGCUCUCGUGAAGUUCAAGUGCCGGCACCC